This 545-nucleotide ribosomal RNA is filed under the name uncultured eukaryote. Its description in RNAcentral is "SSU rRNA". It matches the Rfam family "Eukaryotic small subunit ribosomal RNA", at positions 507 to 1057 of the family's 1831-position model. The record is from RNAcentral.
AAUUGGAAUGAGUACAAUGUAAAAACCUUAACGAGGAACAGUUGGAGGGCAAGUCUGGUGCCAGCAGCCGCGGUAAUUCCAGCUCCAAUAGCGUAUAUUAAAGUUGUUGCAGUUAAAAAGCUCGUAGUUGGAUUUUGGGAUAAGCUUGUUGGGCCGCCGCGAGGUGUUUGCCCCGACGAGGGUAUCCUUCCUCUCGAAAUUGGCGUGUGCGCUUAAUUGAGUGUGCGUCGAGUUUGGGACUUUUACUGUGAAAAAAUUAGAGUGUUCAAAGCAGGCUAUCGCUUGAAUAUUUCAGCAUGGAAUAAUGGAAUAGGACGUUGGUUCUAUUUUGUUGGUUCCUAGGACCGAAGUAAUGAUUAAUAGGGAUAGUUGGGGGCAUUAGUAUUUAAUUGUCAGAGGUGAAAUUCUUGGAUUUAUGAAAGACUAACUUCUGCGAAAGCAUUUGCCAAGGAUGUUUUCAUUAAUCAAGAACGAAAGUUAGGGGAUCGAAGAUGAUCAGAUACCGUCGUAGUCCUAACCAUAAACUAUGCCGACUAAGGAUUGGU